UGGUGGAGUGAUUUGUCUGCUUAAUUGCGUUAACGAACGAGACCUCAGCCUGCUAAAUAGUUAUGCGAACCAUCUGCUCGGGUGAAGCGCUCGGGGCAGUCACUACCCUCGGGUGGUGGCACCCUGCGCGUGGAUCCUUGAUGCGUUCGUAGCGAUACUUCUUAGAGGGACAAUUGGUAUCAAGCCAAUGGAAGUUUGAGGCAACAACA
RNAcentral lists this ribosomal RNA (209 nucleotides) under uncultured eukaryote. Its description in RNAcentral is "partial 18S ribosomal RNA". It matches the Rfam family "Eukaryotic small subunit ribosomal RNA", at positions 1299 to 1458 of the family's 1831-position model. The record is from RNAcentral.